CCGAUUGAAUGCCAUACAUUUUCAAUUGCAGUCGAUGAACCAAAAUCAGGUGAUUUUCCUGGGCGGUAUGCUAAGAUACUCCAUAAUCCACGAGGAUUGCUUACCCAAAAAAGAAGAUAUUUAUCAGCAAGGAAAUAAAUUGAACUAAACAAAAAUUACGUGAAGAGAAAAAAAGUGACGAAGAGCAUCAUGUGGUAAGAACUCGAAAACAUCUGAGAAGCCUAAGUAUACCUGCUGCGCCUAUUUAUUUUCUCAUUAGCACUUUUUCUGCCUCGUCCUCUAGAAUAUUGACGUUGCUCACUAACUGGAGAGGUAGAACUACUGACAUCAUCUCCCUAGUAGCUCAAACAGAAGCCAAUGAGAUGCAAAUAAAAUUGAAAUUCAUAUGUAGAAAAUGAGUCAUUGUAAUAAGCAUAAUAAGGUACUGAUACAUGGAUAUGAAGAACACAUAAAAUUACAUGAAUGUUUUAAUUGCUCCCUCUUGGGAGGUUAUAAAGUUAGGGCAUUGGGCAUGAGUAAGUCUUCAGGAAACUCAUUCUUUCCAGUCGCUUUUUCUGCAAUACAUGAUUCCAUUGGUACUGCAGGCUACAGCUUAUGCAUAAUUUGCAGCUUCAGAACCCCUAAACUCAAUAGAGAACUUUUGCCAAGGGAGUUAAAUGUGUCGUCCAACAAACAACCACGAGUAGAGCAAUGACAGCCUCAACUAACUCAAUGAGAUAAAAAGCGGGAUGCUAUGCCUAUGUAACCUAGAGGUCUGUUUACAUACUGAUUUCAUUUUCUUGCUUUCCCAGUUUAGUUAUUUCUUCUUAUGUUUCAAAACAUUGAUCUAAUAUGUGUUUAUUUUUGGAGAAAAAUGACAUUCCGAUUACUCUUUUUAGGUGUGAAUAAUGUUGCUAGGCUGAUAGUUGAAAGAGUUUAAAUAACUUUGAUCUCUAUACGGGUAGCUCCUUAACAUUGC
RNAcentral lists this long non-coding RNA (958 nucleotides) under Olea europaea (common olive). RNAcentral describes it as "long non-coding RNA (OEUR_LNC010270)". Lineage: Eukaryota; Viridiplantae; Streptophyta; Magnoliopsida; Lamiales; Oleaceae. The record is from RNAcentral.